AUUGAACGCUGGCGGCAUGCCUUACACAUGCAAGUCGAACGGCAGCACGGGAGCAAUCCUGGUGGCGAGUGGCGAACGGGUGAGUAAUGUAUCGGAACGUGCCCAGUCGUGGGGGAUAACGCAGCGAAAGCUGUGCUAAUACCGCAUACGAUCUAUGGAUGAAAGCGGGGGAUCGCAAGACCUCGCGCGAUUGGAGCGGCCGAUAUCAGAUUAGCUAGUUGGUGGGGUAAAGGCUCACCAAGGCGACGAUCUGUAGCUGGUCUGAGAGGACGACCAGCCACACUGGAACUGAGACACGGUCCAGACUCCUACGGGAGGCAGCAGUGGGGAAUUUUGGACAAUGGGCGCAAGCCUGAUCCAGCAAUGCCGCGUGCAGGAUGAAGGCC
This 386-nucleotide ribosomal RNA is filed under the name uncultured bacterium. RNAcentral describes it as "bacterial SSU rRNA". It matches the Rfam family "Bacterial small subunit ribosomal RNA", at positions 30 to 416 of the family's 1533-position model. The record is from RNAcentral.